This 633-nucleotide long non-coding RNA is filed under the name Sus scrofa (pig). Its description in RNAcentral is "lncRNA (ENSSSCG00025046456.1)". The record is from RNAcentral. Lineage: Eukaryota; Metazoa; Chordata; Mammalia; Artiodactyla; Suidae.
UGACAUUCAGUGAAGUACCAGGUUCAAAUAAUUAGAAGACUUUAAUUCAGGAUGAAGGGAAUAGGACAACUUCAUAUUUGGGGCUCCUGGAAGAUCAGAUGUGAAUACAGAUAUUAGAUCUGGAUCCGUGUGUACCGUGGGUCCCAUGGAGCAACCUCCAUAGUCAUUUCUCAGGCUCCUAAAUCAGGAGCUUCAAAGGUAACUCCUGGGGUGAUUUUUAGUGACUUUCCAUCAGUGUGGGUAUAAUUGACAUUGUCAAUUUUCCACUGGCUUCUUUGUAUAGUCUUCUGGUUUCCGGGUAUCCACUGGACUUGAGCUGACCCUAGACUGAUCUCAUGGCAUCUUUGGGGGACCUGAAUCAACAGCUUCCAGCUCAGAACAGGAAUCUGAAACAUAGCACCUACCUCUGAAGACACUAAACAAAAUGCACAAAAUGUCUAUUUGGACCAGAAGGAGCAUUUGAGACUGUCAGUGGCUGUCUUAAAGGGUUCAGAGAACUGAUGUGAUUCCCUCCUCUGCUAUAUUUCUGGAAAAGCAGUUCACCGACCAACUCUAACUAGAGGAAACUUGGGCUGACACUGAACAUUCACUUCGUGCUUUCCCAAAGCCUAAGGGAGCUUUGUGGAAGGGAGG